This 252-nucleotide ribosomal RNA is filed under the name uncultured microorganism. RNAcentral describes it as "partial 16S ribosomal RNA". It matches the Rfam family "Bacterial small subunit ribosomal RNA", at positions 524 to 776 of the family's 1533-position model. The record is from RNAcentral.
UACGUAGGUCCCGAGCGUUGUCCGGAUUUAUUGGGCGUAAAGCGAGCGCAGGUGGUUUAAUAAGUCUGAUGUAAAAGGCAGUGGCUCAACCAUGGUUCGCUUUGGAAACUGGAUAACUUGAGUGCAGAAGGGGAGAGUGGAAUUCCAUGUGUAGCGGUGAAAUGCGUAGAUAUAUGGAGGAACACCGGUGGCGAAAGCGGCUCUCUGGACUGUAACUGACACUGAGGCUCGAAAGCGUGGGUAGCAAACAGG